RNAcentral lists this ribosomal RNA (443 nucleotides) under uncultured bacterium. RNAcentral's name for it is "partial 16S ribosomal RNA". It matches the Rfam family "Bacterial small subunit ribosomal RNA", at positions 338 to 795 of the family's 1533-position model. The record is from RNAcentral.
CCUACGGGAGGCAGCAGUGGGGAAUAUUGGGCAAUGGGCGCAAGCCUGACCCAGCAACGCCGCGUGAAGGAAGAAGGCUUUCGGGUUGUAAACUUCUUUUCUCAGGGACGAAGCAAGUGACGGUAACUGAGGAAUAAGCCACGGCUAACUACGUGCCAGCAGCCGCGGUAAGACGGAGGUGGCAAGCGUUAUCCGGAUUUACUGGGUGUAAAGGGCGUGUAGGCGGGAAAGCAAGUCAGAUGUGAAAACCAUUGGCUCAACCUGUGGCCUGCAUUUGAAACUGUUUUUCUUGAGUACUGGUGAGGUAGACGGAAUUCCUAGUGUAGCGGUGAAAUGCGUAGAUAUUAGGAAGAACACCAGUGGCGAAGGCAGUCUGCUGAACAGCAACUGACGCUGAGGCGCGAAAGCGUGGGGAGCAAACAGGAUUAGAUACCCUUGUAGUC